This 398-nucleotide ribosomal RNA is filed under the name uncultured bacterium. Its description in RNAcentral is "bacterial SSU rRNA". It matches the Rfam family "Bacterial small subunit ribosomal RNA", at positions 521 to 916 of the family's 1533-position model. The record is from RNAcentral.
UAAUACGUAGGGUGCGAGCGUUGUCCGGAAUUACUGGGCGUAAAGAGCUCGUAGGCGGUUUGUCGCGUCGUCUGUGAAAUUCUGCAACUCAAUUGCAGGCGUGCAGGCGAUACGGGCAGACUUGAGUACUACAGGGGAGACUGGAAUUCCUGGUGUAGCGGUGAAAUGCGCAGAUAUCAGGAGGAACACCGGUGGCGAAGGCGGGUCUCUGGGUAGUAACUGACGCUGAGGAGCGAAAGCGUGGGGAGCGAACAGGAUUAGAUACCCUGGUAGUCCACGCCGUAAACGGUGGGUACUAGGUGUGGGGCUCAUUUCACGAGUUCCGUGCCGUAGCUAACGCAUUAAGUACCCCGCCUGGGGAGUACGGCCGCAAGGCUAAAACUUAAAUGAAUUGACGG